GGCCCUCUAAACCGAACUCUAGAUUAUCUAUCUCCACGAGACAAGGAUGGACAUGGAACUCAUACAUCCUCAACAGCAGGAGGCCGAAAGGUUCCAAAUGUCUCUGCCAUUGGUGGCUUUGCAUCUGGCACUGCCUCAGGUGGCGCACCACUCGCACGGCUAGCAAUGUACAAAGUCUGCUGGGCUAUUCCGAAAGAGGGGAAAGAAGAUGGAAACACUUGCUUUGAUGAAGACAUGUUAGCAGCAAUCGCCUCGGGUGGCGCACCACUCGCACGGCUAGCAAUGUACAAAGUCUGCUGGGCUAUUCCGAAAGAGG
Molecule: long non-coding RNA, 316 nt
Filed under: Nicotiana benthamiana
Lineage: Eukaryota; Viridiplantae; Streptophyta; Magnoliopsida; Solanales; Solanaceae
Description: long non-coding RNA (NBEN_LNC029924)
Source: RNAcentral